GGGGUAUAGCUCAGUGGUAGAGCACACUCUUAGUGUGUGUGAGGACCAGUGUUGGAUCCCCAGGACCACCC
This 71-nucleotide transfer RNA is filed under the name Marmota monax (woodchuck). RNAcentral's name for it is "tRNA.Thr". The record is from RNAcentral. Lineage: Eukaryota; Metazoa; Chordata; Mammalia; Rodentia; Sciuridae.